Molecule: long non-coding RNA, 1688 nt
Organism: Phyllopteryx taeniolatus (common seadragon)
Lineage: Eukaryota; Metazoa; Chordata; Actinopteri; Syngnathiformes; Syngnathidae
Exons: 4
Source: RefSeq, a predicted model, not a curated record
GUGUUUCUUUAUUUUUUGCUCAUUUAUUUCUUAAAACUAAAUUGUGAUUUGGUAUCUUCCGGGGAGGGGCUAAGGGGUAUUUAAGGACCGCUACGGCAGUCGUUCGUGCUGGCGGGGCUUAGCAACGUCGCGUAUCCCCUCGCUGCUCCACGGGACCUGGUGUAAACAAAACCAAUCACCGCAGAAGUUUUCCAACGGAGCCAUAAUCUUUUCUUUCCUUUUUUUUUUUUUUUUUUUUUAAAUUCCAAAACCGAACCCGUGACAUAUGAUUAUUAUUGAUUAUGUUGAAAUGCCUUUGAAACGAGCGUCUUCCUAUACUAUUGCACUCUCACCAAUGGCGCAGCGUCAGUCCUGUUGAGGAAAUGCGCCGUGAUGUUUUUCCCAGAAGAUGGCGCCUUCUGCUCGCGACAGUUGUUGUUUCGCUGCCCCAGCAGGCUCGUCAUCCACUUUUGACCUCGGCACUGGCAUGCACUCGGAGAGGCGCAGUAGCAGAUUUGGGCCACCAAUUUCCAGUAAAGUGGUCUUCAAUUAUUACACAAUGGAUCUCCCCCCCACCGCCCAACAGUCGUAGCUAUAAAAAAAAAAACAUUGAUGGACAGCGUGAAAAAAGAGAACGUGAUGAAGCAUUUCCCCUGGCGCUACAUGAACUUUUGAACUUCUCUCCUAAAUACCAUCCCUCUCUGAAACGAGACGAAAGCCACGCAGACUGCAUGAGACCGGUCGAGAGCAGCAUUAACGACAUUUGGUUCCUCAAAUUUAACUGUGGAACACAGACAGGAACACAAAUGAGCAGAUGACUUAUUACUAGUGAAUGUAUUUAUUAUUUAGUCAAAAGGCGACACAAUUGUAGUGACUUACAACGCCGCACCAUCUGCCCUGUUUGGAGUUUUUGUUUGACAUCAUUCUGUUGGUACGCCGCAGUCGAAGCGGCUCGCGUCGAUGAGCCCAAACUUUGUGCAUUCGGCCUUAAUAAAGCGAGCCAAUAAUUUGUCGUUGAAAAAAUGCCGAGGCCGAGACUGCCCUAAACAUAAAUAGGAUCUCGUACAGAUGGAGAAGGUCAAAUUGAAAGUUCAAGAGGAGCCAAGUCAAACUGAGUGCUGUGGGAACUCUGAAUGUUCUUUAGUUUUGAAUUUGGACCUGCUGGCCAGUUAACACUUUUGUUCUCAUGUCUUUUACAACAUUGUUUAAAAGUAUAUACCACAUUUAAAAUCAGUACUAUUGUGUUACAAACCGGAAUUCAUCUGAACAAUUAAUCCAGACAAAUGUUAUGAAUGUUCUUGAAUUGUGAAUAAUCUUAAGAGCAGCUACGACCGCUUAUUCAAAACCGAAAUAAUGUUCUGCCUUCAUUAGUGUCCUUGUGAGAAGAGGCCUGAAUGUGAUUAAUUUAGGCCAGCAAUGCUAAUCUAUGCCUUUUACUUUAUAGCAGAUAUACCUUCUGGGAGCAAGUAAAUCUACUUAGCCACUCUGUCUAAUGAGGUUCUUGUGUCUGGAAGCUUCCAUUCUCAAGGGAGCGUUGGGAACAUAUGCGAAAGUGCAUCAGACUAAUAAGUCGAAAUGCAGCUGCAGGUCGAUCUGCUUGCCACCUGUCACCUCCGCGGGGAACGUGCCUGUCGACUUGAAGUGAUUCCAUGCUUUCAUUGGACAAAUGUGAUAUUGUUCUUACCCAAUAAAGAAAUUAGUCCGGCUGA